This 651-nucleotide ribosomal RNA is filed under the name Zygosaccharomyces rouxii. Its description in RNAcentral is "eukaryotic LSU rRNA". The stretch from base 212 to 365 matches the Rfam family "5.8S ribosomal RNA". Lineage: Eukaryota; Fungi; Ascomycota; Saccharomycetes; Saccharomycetales; Saccharomycetaceae. The record is from RNAcentral.
UGACUCUUACGGAGUUCUCUCAAGUGUUGGAGGGGAAGGCCUGCGCUUAAUUGCGCGGCUGUUUUUAAUCUCCUCCGCCUUUGAUACACACAUUGGAGUUUCUACUUUUUUGUUCUCUUUGGGAGGGUUCUGCUCUCCCAGAGGUAAACACAAACAAUCUUUUAUUAUACUAUUAACACAGUCAAAUGAAUUUUAAAAACAAAAUAUUCAAAACUUUCAACAACGGAUCUCUUGGUUCUCGCAUCGAUGAAGAACGCAGCGAACUGCGAUACGUAAUGUGAAUUGCAGAAUUCCGUGAAUCAUCGAAUCUUUGAACGCACAUUGCGCCCCUUGGUAUUCCGGGGGGCAUGCCUGUUUGAGCGUCAUUUCCCUCUCAAACUUUACGUUUGGUAGUGAGCGAUACUCUACUCUGGAGUUUGCUUGAAAAUGGGAGGCCAUAGGCGAAGCAUUGCUUUCCAAUCCUGCGGCCCUCUGCUUACUUCCCCUUGUGGGUUGUGGCAGGGGAAAGCGGGAGGCGCCUUGCCACGAUAGUCGUAUUAGGUUUUACCGACUCGGCGAAAGUGAAGAGGUUUGCUUUUUAGGAGCAGGCAGCGUCUGGCUUGACAAAAUUCUCAAAGUUUGACCUCAAAUCAGGUAGGAUUACCCGCUGAA